AGAGUUUGAUCCUGGCUCAGAGCGAACGCUGGCGGCAGGCUUAACACAUGCAAGUCGAGCGGGCCCUUCGGGGUCAGCGGCAGACGGGUGAGUAACACGUGGGAACGUACCCUUUGGUUCGGAAUAACGCUGGGAAACUAGCGCUAAUACCGGAUACGCCCUUUUGGGGAAAGGCUUGCUGCCGAAGGAUCGGCCCGCGUCUGAUUAGCUAGUUGGUGGGGUAAUGGCCUACCAAGGCGACGAUCAGUAGCUGGUCUGAGAGGAUGAUCAGCCACACUGGGGCUGAGACACGGCCCAGACUCCUACGGGAGGCAGCAGUGGGGAAUAUUGGACAAUGGGCGCAAGCCUGAUCCAGCCAUGCCGCGUGAGUGAUGAAGGCCUUAGGGUUGUAAAGCUCUUUUGUCCGGGACGAUAAUGACGGUACCGGAAGAAUAAGCCCCGGCUAACUUCGUG
RNAcentral lists this ribosomal RNA (453 nucleotides) under uncultured Methylobacterium sp. RNAcentral's name for it is "bacterial SSU rRNA". It matches the Rfam family "Bacterial small subunit ribosomal RNA", at positions 8 to 507 of the family's 1533-position model. Lineage: Bacteria; Pseudomonadati; Pseudomonadota; Alphaproteobacteria; Hyphomicrobiales; Methylobacteriaceae. The record is from RNAcentral.